AAACGGUGUGCCUGGGGCACAUGUAAUACUGACAGUCUGUACCUGGAGAGAUAAGAGAGUGGUGUCUUUUUUUAUACCCUUUCCAAAACCCAAAUCUAACGGAGAGAAGUGAAGGUUGUGGAUAAAGCUUUGUGGUCAUUCACAGUUGAACACAAGCAAGAUAACGAAGGACACAUACUUUUGCUCCAAGAUCAUCAAGGAUAUCAACUACCUGAGCCACUGCUUGUUCACCCCGGUAUCAUCCAGAAGGCGAGGACCGACGCCUGGGAUGAGAAGCAGGUACGGGGAGUCAAGCACUUUAUCAGGAACAGACAAAACAAGACAGGAACAGAGCCAGCACAUGGGUAUACAAGGACAUAUGACAAUCAAUGCAGAAGAAGGGAACAGAGCGGGGAAACAGACAGAUAUAGGGAAGGUAAUGACAAAAGGUGAUUGAGUCCAAUAAUCGCUGAUGCGCAUGACGGGGGGAAGUGCGUAAUGAUGAUAGCAGGAGUGUGGAAUGCUGGAGAGGGGAAGAGCGGGAGCAGGCGUGACAUUCUACGGUAUCUUAGUCACUUAAUGUUUACUUAUCUGGCAUUAGUAAUCUCAUAUGUAUAUAUUGUUUUCUGUACUAUUCUAUGGUUUCUCAUUCCCUUAAUAAUGUUUACAUGCCGUUGAAGUCGGAAGUUUACAUACACUUAGGUUGGAGUCAUUAAAAUUUGUUUAUCAACCACCACAAAUUUCUUGUUAACAAACUAUAGUUUUGGCACGUCGGUUAGGACAUCUACAUUGUGCAUGACACAAGUCAUUUUUCCAACAAUUGUUUACAGACAUAUUAUUUAAUUUAGAAUUCCCUGUAUCACAAUUUCAGUGGGUCAGAAGUUUACAUAAACUAAUCUGACAGUGCCUUUAAACAGCUUGGAAAAUUCCAUGAAAUUAUGUAAUGUCUUUAGAAGCUUCUGAUAGGCUAAUUGAAAUCAUUUGAGUCAAAUGGAGGUGUACCUGUGAAUGUAUUUCAAGGCCUACCUUCAAACUCAGCGCGUCUUUGCUUGACAUCAUGGGAAAAUCAAAAGAAAUCAGCCAAGACCUCAGAAAAUAAAUUGUACACCUCCACAAGUCUGGUUCAUCCUUUUGAGCAAU
This is a long non-coding RNA of Oncorhynchus masou masou (cherry salmon), 1119 nucleotides long. RefSeq lists it as uncharacterized. The record is from RefSeq and is a predicted model, not a curated record. NCBI's taxonomy places the organism in Eukaryota, Metazoa, Chordata, Actinopteri, Salmoniformes, Salmonidae. The transcript has 3 exons.